This 647-nucleotide ribosomal RNA is filed under the name uncultured denitrifying bacterium. RNAcentral's name for it is "bacterial SSU rRNA". It matches the Rfam family "Bacterial small subunit ribosomal RNA", at positions 117 to 766 of the family's 1533-position model. The record is from RNAcentral.
CUGGGAAACUGCCUGAUGGAGGGGGAUAACUACUGGAAACGGUAGCUAAUACCGCAUACGUCUUCGGACCAAACGCCGGGACUUCGGCCUCUUGCCAUCAGAUGUGCCCAGAUGGGAUUAGCUAGUAGGUGAGGUAAUGGCUCACCUAGGCGACGAUCCCUAGCUGGUCUGAGAGGAUGACCAGCCACACUGGAACUGAGACACGGUCCAGACUCCUACGGGAGGCAGCAGURGGGAAUAUUGCACAAUGGGCGCAGCCUGAUGCAGCCAUGCCGCGUGUAUGAAGAAGGCCUUCGGGUUGUAAAGUACUUUCAGCGAGGAGGAAGGCAUUGUGGUUAAUAACCRCAGUGAUUGACGUUACUCGCAGAAGAAGCACCGGCUAACUCCGUGCCAGCAGCCGCGGUAAUACGGAGGGUGCAAGCGUUAAUCGGAAUUACUGGGCGUAAAGCGCACGCAGGCGGUUUGUCAAGUCGGAUGUGAAAUCCCCGGGCUCAACCUGGGAACUGCAUUCGAAACUGGCAAGCUAGAGUCUUGUAGAGGGGGGUAGAAUUCCAGGUGUAGCGGUGAAAUGCGUAGAGAUCUGGAGGAAUACCGGUGGCGAAGGCGGCCCCUGGACAAAGACUGACGCUCAGUGCGAACGUGGGGAG